Canis lupus familiaris (dog) is the source of this 2731-nucleotide long non-coding RNA. RefSeq lists it as uncharacterized. Lineage: Eukaryota; Metazoa; Chordata; Mammalia; Carnivora; Canidae. The transcript has 3 exons. The record is from RefSeq and is a predicted model, not a curated record.
GUACUCUGGGGACAGGGCAGGGGUUGAAGGUGGGGUGUGAAGAAGAGCUGGUGAGUGAGGUGCACUAAAGAUGGGGCUAGAGCUCCAAAGUCAGCCUGGAUUGUUGACUCUGCAGAGCUGCAGUUGGAGCUCAAACCCUCAACCCAGCCAAAGCUGUCAGGCACCACCAGAAAUGUGACCUGGUGCCCGGUGCCCUGCUCAGGUGCUCUAAGAAGCUUGGGUAUCUGGGCUGUGACUGUGGGCCCAUUCUAAUAUGUAAAAACAUGAGGACAACUAAGAAGAUGGGUGGAAGCAACUAAGGCUCCUUUUCUCCUGGCUUGUGUCCAGAAAGAUUUCCAUCCCAGCGGAGGUGCUUAGAAGACAGGUAUGUGUGGACCUCUGAGCAGGGAAACCUUGGGUCUGUUUCACUGUCCCUAUUCUUAGAGCCACGCUGUUCUAAGGCUGAUUCAAAAAGAUCCCAGAUAUGGAAGGGUAGGCUGUGAGCACUGCGGAAGAACUCUUUGCACAUAACCACUUAGUCCAAACCCUGCAUUAAGAGACCAGAAAAAAUAGUAGCAUAGUUUCUAACAGGUCAAAUCCAUGUCCCUGGGAUGUCUACCACAGCCCCCUGAAGUUCCUGCAUGAGAAAGCUUACAGCUGCCAGAAGAAUUCAGUUUAUUCCAGCCAACACAUAAGGAUAAGGUCCCUGUCUCCCAGUCUCUGCAAGAGAGUGGGAGCCUAGUUUUCAUAAGCACUAGUUAGCAAAUCCAGAUGGCCUCAUCCUGCACCUAUAUAUUUCUACUUUCCUGAUUCUGCUCACCACCCCCACUGCAUUUCCCCCAGUGACCACACUCAAAGCAAGAUGGGAUUUUUCAAUGUUGAGAUUAUUAUUUUCUCCUGAGAUUGAGAACUGUUUGAGUGUGGAAGAGGGAUUGGGUGGGAAAGCAAAUGAGCUUCCGUGUGAGGAGGUGCGGCCAGGCUCUGGACAGUUACCUCAGGUUCUGCUUGUCAGGAUGGUGGUGACCAGGGAGUAGAGGUCCAGCUCUAAAGUAUAACAAAGUGCCUCUAGCUAAGUCAUUUCAUUGAUUUGAGAUUCUCUUUCCACCUUGGCACACUGAUCUGUAAAAUGGUCUUCAAACUUUUUUAUGGGUAGCAACUUAUUUUUCAGAUAGGAAUUUAGAUAAUUCUCUCAAAUAGAUGACAAUAGAGCUUCUUUAGUAGAGUGGAGAAUUGAGAGGUUGCCCACUGGGUCUAACAGACUCUCCUGAGGGAACUGAAUUACCUCCAAAGAACCUGCUACCACAGAAACUACUGUUCCAAGGCACCCAAUCUCACCUUCUUCCACUUAGCAGUCAGACCCCACCCAGAAGAGUUUUGUCAGGGCACAUGUCCAGCUUCCCUCAAGCUUCUAACCAAGUAAAAGGGCAGCUCUCAGGUAAUUCCCUGAAAAAAAGCUUAGUCCUCUGCUUCCUCUGCCUUUUUCCACCUGGCUGGGAGAGGGGAUAAUGGAGUGGCAUCUUGAACCCACAGGUAGAUACCAUGUAUUGAUGGUGUAAAGUCAGUGUGUCAGCAUCAUUGCACAGUGACCUUGUGGAGCACAGCAACAUUGUUCUGAACCACCCCCCUACCUACCACUAUACUAUUAUUGGCUUGUCUUGUUAAAGGCAGUGUGUUUGGGUCUUUUCGGAAAGUGGAUCAGCCAGUUGCUUAACCAGGAGAGCAAGGCUCAAAGGAGGAGUUUGAUAACUUCUACAUUACCUACUCUCAGCCUUCAGCCAUGCUCAACUUACGGAAGGCCAUUUCACUUAUUAUGACACAUGUUCCCAUGUGGCUUUGGCUCACUUUUAAAACUUCCUCAACUCUACCCCAAUAAAGAAAUCUGCAAGUUUGUUGAAGGAGAGGAUCAGAAGAGGGUUGGUUCAUCCAAUCAGUCAUAAAUGUAGAUGCUAAUUUCUAAAAUGGUGUGAGAACACAAAGGAAAUUAGUAGAAGAUCUGAUUUUUUUAAAAUAUUUUAUUCAUUUAUUCAUGAGAGACAGAGAGAGAGGCAGAGACACAGGCAGAGGGAGAAGCAGGCACCAUGCAAGGAGCCCAAUGCAGGACUCGAUCCCGGGACUCCAGGAUCACACCCUGGGCUGAAGGCCCACGCUGCAGAUUUGGGAGAAAACUGUUCUCAGAGAUGAAUGCUGGUAGAUUACAAACCAAAGGAACCAGAGAGAAAGUUGAUACACCGCUAUAGGCUGUUCUGAACUGCUUUCCUGCAGCUUCUGGGGUUUCUCUGUGAAUGGCACAGGGGUAUCUCAGUUUGGAUGACAAAUUAUAUGGAUAUCCUACUUAAGGAAUAAAGAACUGUAUAUUUCUCUCACUUCACAGUCCAAAGUAAGCACUCCUGCCUGGCAGCUCUGUCCUGAGUUCCUUUUAUGUAAUUGCUCUGCAAAUUUCAGGGAAUUGUUGUCAUCUGGAUGGUUGGAGCUGGGCUACUGCCAUGUGAGGUUGUCAUCAGUGACUUUUUGAAUUUUUUUUUUUUUUUGAGAAAGAGAAAGAAUAUGCACACAAGUCAGUGUGCUCGAGCAAGGGGGAGGGGCAGAGGGAGAGGGAGACAAUCUCAAGGAAACCUUAUGUUCAGUGCAAAGCCUGAGUGGGGCUCAAUCUCAUCACCCUGAGGUCAUGACCUGAGCUGAAAUCAAGAGUCGGAUGCUUAACCAAGUGAGCCAACCUGGGGAAUAUAAAUAAUAGUGAAAGGGAAUAUAAGGG